This 84-nucleotide microRNA precursor is filed under the name Schistosoma japonicum. RNAcentral describes it as "mir-71 microRNA precursor family". It matches the Rfam family "mir-71 microRNA precursor family". Lineage: Eukaryota; Metazoa; Platyhelminthes; Trematoda; Strigeidida; Schistosomatidae. The record is from Rfam by way of RNAcentral.
UUGCUGUGAAAGACUUGAGUAGUGAGACGCUUAUAGCGUUGUUGUCUGCGGUUCGGCGCCUCAUACUAAGUCUUUCCCGGCUCA